GCCCAGCUAGCUCAGUCAGUAGAGCACGAGACUCUUAAUCUCAGGUUUGUGAGUUCGUACCCCACGUUGGGCA
Molecule: non-coding RNA, 73 nt
Organism: Dryococelus australis
Lineage: Eukaryota; Metazoa; Arthropoda; Insecta; Phasmatodea; Phasmatidae
Source: the annotation of a GenBank genome assembly